Molecule: microRNA, 21 nt
Filed under: Marchantia polymorpha subsp. ruderalis
Lineage: Eukaryota; Viridiplantae; Streptophyta; Marchantiopsida; Marchantiales; Marchantiaceae
Source: RNAcentral
CUUGCAAGUGAUGGGAUUGUC